Molecule: ribosomal RNA, 795 nt
Filed under: uncultured bacterium
Lineage: Bacteria
Description: bacterial SSU rRNA
Rfam family: Bacterial small subunit ribosomal RNA
Source: RNAcentral
GCGAACGGGUGAGUAACACGUGGGCGACCUGCCUGUAAGAUCGGGAUAACUCCGGGAAACCGGGGCUAAUACCGGAUAACCCGUGCCUCCUCCUGGAGGCGCGUUGAAAGGCGGCUUCGGCUGUCAUUUACACAUGGGCCCGCAGCGUAUUAGCUUGUUGGUGGGGUAACGCCCCACCAAGGCGAUGAUACUUAGCCAACCUGACAGGGUAAUCUGCCACACUGACACUGACACUAGGCCCAGACUCCUACGGGAGGCAGCAUUAGGGAAUCUUCCCCAAUGGACGAAACUCUGACGGAGCAAUGCCGCGUGAGUGAUUAAGGUCUUCGGAUCGUAAAGCUCUGUUGCCGGAGAAUAACAAGGACAGUAUUAACUGGUUGUCCCUUGACGGUAUCCGGCCAGAAAGCCACGGCUAACUACGUGCCAGCAGCCGCGGAAAUACCUAGGUGGCAUCCGUUGUCCGGAUUUAUUGGCCGUAACGCGAGCGCAGGCGGUCCUUAUAUUCUGAUGUGAAACCCCACGGCUCAACGCAUUAAGCACUCCGCCUGGGGAGUACGGCCGCAAGGCUGAAACUCAAAGGAAUUGACGGGGACCCGCACAAGCGGUGGAGCAUGUGGUUUAAUUUGAAGCAACGCGAAGAACCUUACCAGGUCUUGACAUCCUAUGACCACUCAAGAGAAUGGGUAUUCCCUUUGGGGACAGAGAGACAGGUGGUGCAUGGUGGUCGUCAGCUCGUGUCGUGAGAUGUUGGGUUAAGUCCCGCAACGAGCGCAAACCCUAUUCUCAGUUGCCAGC